GAAUUAGUAACUUAACUGGCAAAGGGUUUCCCUGUCACGGAAAUAGAUGUCCGUUCGAAUCGGAUCUAAUUCG
Molecule: transfer RNA, 73 nt
Organism: Drechmeria coniospora
Lineage: Eukaryota; Fungi; Ascomycota; Sordariomycetes; Hypocreales; Ophiocordycipitaceae
Rfam family: tRNA
About the family: Transfer RNA (tRNA) molecules are approximately 80 nucleotides in length. Their secondary structure includes four short double-helical elements and three loops (D, anti-codon, and T loops).
Source: Rfam